Molecule: ribosomal RNA, 228 nt
Filed under: Streptomyces albidoflavus
Lineage: Bacteria; Bacillati; Actinomycetota; Actinomycetes; Kitasatosporales; Streptomycetaceae
Description: partial 23S ribosomal RNA
Rfam family: Bacterial large subunit ribosomal RNA
Source: RNAcentral
AACCUCUGGUGUGCCAGUUGUUCUGCCAAGGGCAUGGCUGGUUGGCUACGUUCGGGAGGGAUAACCGCUGAAAGCAUCUAAGCGGGAAGCCUGCUUCGAGAUGAGUAUUCCCACCUCCUUGAGAGGGUAAGGCUCCCAGUAGACGACUGGGUUGAUAGGCCGGAUAUGGAAGCCCUGUAAGGGGUGGAGUUGACCGGUACUAAUAGGCCGAGGGCUUGUCCUCAGUUG